RNAcentral lists this ribosomal RNA (358 nucleotides) under Dolichogenidea sp. jft02. RNAcentral describes it as "eukaryotic LSU rRNA". It matches the Rfam family "Eukaryotic large subunit ribosomal RNA", at positions 323 to 632 of the family's 3401-position model. Lineage: Eukaryota; Metazoa; Arthropoda; Insecta; Hymenoptera; Braconidae. The record is from RNAcentral.
UUGUUACGAGANCGAUAGCGAACAAGUANCGUGAGGGAAAGUUGAAAAGAACUUUGAAGAGAGAGUUCAAGAGUACGUGAAACCGUUCAGGGGUAAACCUGUGAAACCCAAAAGAUCGAAUGAGGAGAUUCAUCGUCAGCGUAUUCAGUAUUAAUGCAGGCUAUGAUGUGAUAAUAGAAUCCUCGUGGUCACUAGAUUAUACUUGCUUGUAUUAUUUUUGCUGGGUAUGUCGGCGUGCACUUCUCCUCUAGUAGAACGUCGCAACCCGUUGGAUGUUUAUCUAUGGCCUGAAUGGUAGCCUUNGAUAUUUUAUAUNNUGAAAACCUUUNGGUGUCCUGAUAAACUGUCUGACGGUGUA